UCUCAACACUGACACUUUAGUAAACAGUGCCACCUAGUGGCUAAACGUGAUAAGGUGGUCCAGUCUCAUCAACGCUGACACUAGUAAACAGUGCCACCUAGUGGCUAAACGUGAUAAGGUGGUCCAGUCUCAUCAACGCUGACACUAGUAAACAGUACCACCUAGUGGCUAAACGUGAUAAGGUGGUCCAGUCUCAUCAACGCUGACACUAGUAAACAGUGCCACCUAGUGGCUAAACGUGAUAAGGUGGUCCAGUCUCAUCAACGCUGACACUAGUAAACAGUACCACCUAGUGGCUAAAC
Molecule: long non-coding RNA, 302 nt
Filed under: Salmo salar (Atlantic salmon)
Lineage: Eukaryota; Metazoa; Chordata; Actinopteri; Salmoniformes; Salmonidae
Description: lncRNA (ENSSSAG00000117524.1)
Source: RNAcentral